UUCAUUCAUGGAGAACCCUAGCCGCAAAGAAGGAAGAACAAUAGCCCCCUGUCGCCGUUUUUUCCCCUGGUGUCGCCAUCGUCAACCCCAGUAACCCUCCAAUCUCCAUCUUCGCCUGGUUCCUGCCCAGUAGCCCUCCAUCUCCAUCGGCUUCAUCUUCUCAACAGCAGCACGCAGUAGCCCUCUCAUCGCGCGGUCGGCGGUCCUCAACAGUCAACACCGGUAGCCCUCCAUCGAUCCCAGAUUGAUGUCUGAAGGAUUUGUUUCAUACCUGGAGUUGUGGAAAAAAAAUGGAGUUUCAUUUAAAAGAUUGUAACAUCAUUUGCAGUAUCAGCUACUUUGUUGAUGUAAAUAUCAAUAUUAUACUCUAAUAUGCUAUCUUGUAUUGCUUCCUUUUGUAAAUAUCAAUUUCUGACUUUCUGUGAAUUGUUCAAUUUCUGA
Non-coding RNA from Arachis ipaensis, 441 nucleotides. NCBI's taxonomy places the organism in Eukaryota, Viridiplantae, Streptophyta, Magnoliopsida, Fabales, Fabaceae. The record is from RefSeq and is a predicted model, not a curated record.